AACGAACGCUGGCGGCAUGCCUAACACAUGCAAGUCGAACGAGACCUUCGGGUCUAGUGGCGCACGGGUGCGUAACGCGUGGGAACCUGCCCUUAGGUUCGGAAUAACUCCCCGAAAGGGGUGCUAAUACCGGAUAAUGUCUUCGGACCAAAGAUUUAUCGCCUUUGGAUGGGCCCGCGUUGGAUUAGAUAGUUGGUAGGGUAAAAGCCUACCAAGGCGACGAUCCAUAGCUGGUCUGAGAGGAUGAUCAGCCACACUGGGACUGAGACACGGCCCAGACUCCUCCGGGAGGCAGGAAUGGGGGACAUUGGAACAUGGGGGGAAGGAUGAAGCCGCAAUGCCCGGUGAGUUAUGAAAGGCUUAGGGUUGUAAAGCUCUUUUAACCGGGAUGAUAAUGACAGUACCGGGAGAAUAAGCUCCGGCUAACUCCGUG
RNAcentral lists this ribosomal RNA (433 nucleotides) under uncultured bacterium. RNAcentral describes it as "partial 16S ribosomal RNA". It matches the Rfam family "Bacterial small subunit ribosomal RNA", at positions 29 to 507 of the family's 1533-position model. The record is from RNAcentral.